CAGAGAUGACACUCAGGGUCUGUCUCUGUGUGACCCUGCUGCUCAGCACAGCUACAGGCUUGCCGCGUCUCAACUCCCGGAGCUCUAUAGUUGGGGGAGAGGAUGCAGCCCCUGGAAGAUGGCCCUGGAUGGUGUACCUUGAGACCAUUGAGGGAGAGGAUGACAGCUACUGUGGCGGUUCUCUUAUCAACACUGGAUGGGUUCUGACUGCAGCCCACUGCUUAGAC
Sardina pilchardus (European sardine) is the source of this 227-nucleotide long non-coding RNA. RefSeq lists it as uncharacterized. The record is from RefSeq and is a predicted model, not a curated record. The transcript is spliced from 3 exons. NCBI's taxonomy places the organism in Eukaryota, Metazoa, Chordata, Actinopteri, Clupeiformes, Clupeidae.